CCCUUAGAUGUUCGGGGCCGCACGCGCGCUACACUGAAGGAAUCAGCGCGUCUUUCUCCUUGUCCGAAAGGACUGGGUAACCCGCUGAACCUCCUUCGUGCUAGGGAUUGGGGCUUGUAAUUCUUCCCCAUGAACGAGGAAUUCCCAGUAAGCGCGAGUCAUAAGCUCGCGUUGAUUACGUCCCUGCCCUUUGUACACACCGCCCGUCGCUACUACCGAUUGGAUGGUUUAGUGAGAUCCUCGGAUUGGUCCCGGCGCGGCCUCUGGUCGUGCCGGAGUGCCGAAAAGAAUGUCGAACUUGAUCAUCUAGAGGAAGUAAAAGUCGUAACA
RNAcentral lists this ribosomal RNA (330 nucleotides) under uncultured eukaryote. Its description in RNAcentral is "partial 18S ribosomal RNA". It matches the Rfam family "Eukaryotic small subunit ribosomal RNA", at positions 1470 to 1796 of the family's 1831-position model. The record is from RNAcentral.